ACAGUUCUGGUUCGUUAACUCUGGACAUUCUAUUGUAAUUAAUUCUACAUAAACUUUGUCAAACAAGCAGUUUAGCCCACGUGUGACAUUAUGCAAUAUACCUCUCAACGGCUUCAGGGAAGGUUGUGUAAUUGCACAGUGUCGUGACUAACCAAAACCCUUCCGUGGCCUGGAACGGUUGAGGACACAUUUUCAAAGGUAUACGUCAGACGUCAGACAGUCAGAGGAGUGUCAGAUAUAACAGAAGAGGUUUGAACUCCAUGCAUGGCUAUUUGAAUUACCUUGGCACCGUCAGCUGCUGCCUCAGAUGGUGUAUCCCCUUCCACUACAGGCGUUGGAGCCUCUUCUUCGACAUCAGUAGGUGCAGCUGCUUCUACAGCAGGAGCCACCUCUUCAGCAAUAACUGCGACUUCAGUGACAGCUUCUUCUUCUGCAGUAGCCUCUUCUGUAGUGGCUUCCUCUUCUGCAGGAGCUGCUACUACUGCAGUAUCCUUUUCCUCAGCAGGAGCUGCUUCUGUAGUAGCUUCUUCUUCUACAGCUUCUUCUUCUGCAGGAGCUUCUUCUUCUACAGCUUCUUCCUCUACAGCAGUGUCAGUAGGGGAAUCUAUAUCUGCCGUCUCCUCUGAAAAGGCAAUGAGAGAGAGAGGUGAGAAGACAGCAGACUGCAUCUGUUUUUUGUUAUACUUAUUUCUUUCUAGUUUGGGAGAUUGGAAUUGAAGACUGUUAUGUUAGCUGAUAUAUGUUAUGCAGCGCUCAAAUAUAUGAAUUUCGAUAUAAUUUAUACUUUUUUCAGAAUCAACAGUUUAAUUUUGCUUCGUAUAUUUUCAGUUGGUGUCAUUGACUUCCUAGGUGGCUUUCACAAAAGCUAACCAUUUUGGAUGUUGCGGAGCCUGAUGUCAAUUUUUAACCUAGAAACACAAUGAAGAGCUUCAACGGUUACGUUUUUUCUUAUUAUAUUGGCGCUAAAAUGAUUAAUCAAUUUGAUAUAUGAUUGUUAUAUAUCUGGAGUUUGUGUGGCUAGAGGCUCGGUGCUUGCUACAUACCGCCCCUUUUUUUAACAGCUCUGGGUCCGGAGGUAAAUUUAGCAUUAAUUUACACUGUUUACCUUUCGUAAAAUCGUAGUACAGAGAGUUUUAAGCCUGGAACCAAGCCGAACGAUCGUCAAGGUAGUCGUGGCGAUUCAACGUUUUAUUCAGGGCAAAAAAGGAUUUGGAAAUCUGAAGAAAACGCAAAGGUAAAAGACUGCACAUUAUAUUUUGUGUAUUUUUCGCAAUGGUUCCAAACCAAUAGCUAAGCGCAUUUCUUGCAUUUUAUAACCUUUGUCAUUAUUACAUUGUUAAUAUUGUUAAUAUAAGUUGUGUCAUUUAUUCUGUGUGUGUGUAUGUAUGUGUGUUUCAUAUAGCGUUGUCUUCUACAUGGUACAUUCCUUUAAUCUUGACUGCAGUCACCACUUAAUAAAGUCACUUGUUUUUAAUACGAAUUCAGUCUCGUAUUCCAGUUACGUAUUCAUUCAACAUUAUGUAUUCUGCUUUUAUAGUAUCAAACCCUAACCUUAACACUAUUACUAAGAAGCACUGGUUAGUGCUAUAUCAUAUAUUUUUCUUAGCUUUUUAUCAUAUAUUCUACAUCACUUUCGCUGGUAUCCAUUUCCAUGGUAACAGCGAGCUCCACCAAUCAAAGACGUCGUGAUACACUAUAGGAUUGUGGGUAGUGUACUACCGGUGUUACACCUACUUGCCGAAUUCUGUGACCCACCGAAAAGUGUGACCCCAGGGGGCGCUGUUGCAUAUUCUCUGCAAUAUGCAAUAUGUACGAGUUUGAAUGGCAUGACAAAACAUACAUAAAACAUGUGAUCUCCCCCCAACCAAUUACCUUUUUAUUAAAGUUGCUUAAUAAAUACAUUUGAUUGAUUUGAUUAGCAUUUUACAGACCCAUACAAUGGAUAGGGCGUUUAGUACGGUCCUUCACCGUUGCUUCUUUACCCAUAAAAAGCUAGUCAUUGUUAAAUUACGCUGAUUUACCUUUGAGCAUUUCGUAUUAUAGGGUAUUUUGUAAAAUUAGCCUAUAAUAAAGCUGUUUAGAAUUAAUGUUAGUAUCAAGAAAAGAAAGACACACCUGUGGGGAGAGAUCUUAUGUUAAUGUGCAACAGCGCCCCCUGGGGUCACACUUUUCGGUGGGCCGCAGAAUUCGGUGUAACACCGGUAAUAGGUUGUUUCAAAUUACAUCGCGAAUAAAACGUGUAUAUCUAAAAACUAUACGUUUACGUCUUUAACUGGUGGCUUUUACAGGAGCAUACGUAUACCAUUGAUUCACAAAAUAACGGCACAUGGUAGGUAUACUUAGGAUAGUUGCGACAUUAUGGCUAUUAAUCAAAAGCUAAAAUCAGAACAACCACAACAUUGUUUUGCGUUGCGUUGACUUGGGUUUGAGCAUUGACUGUGUGUUACAUAACCUUCAUCAUCUGUUAUUAUUUAAGGUUGUUAUGGGGAGUUUUUAUGAUGGACAUGGAACACCGGGGUGUGUAAACGCAUGCACGCACACACGCACACACACACACACACACACACACACACACACACACACACACACACACACACACACACACACACACACACACACACACACACACACACACACACACACAAACACGCAUCAAACACACACACACACAGGCACUAUAGACUGAUUGGUGCCUGAUGUUUGGGCUAAAACAAAAUGUGCACGACAUGACAGAUCAAUCAUCCCUCACCCUGCCCUCAUCUACCAAGGACCCCAGGCCUCCACACCGGCUAAUUAGAAAAGCCUCUUGUGUGUGUGUGUGUGUGUGUGUGUGUGUGUGUGUGUGUGUGUGUGUGUGUGUGUGUGUGUGUGUGUGUGUGUGUGUGUGUGUGUGUGUGUGUGUGUGUGUGUGUGUGUAUGUGUGUGUGUGUGUGUUUGUGUGUUUAGAGUCCAGUAUUGGGACUUGAGCUCUGACUCUAGACACUCAGGGUCCAACUGUACACACCAUUACCUCUCAGAGACCCACAGCUAGAUGUAACUACACAAUGCUGUCUGUCUGCCAGUCUACUUUCACAUAAACGUUGCCAGAAAUUGUCUUCAUUCAGAGAAAAACACAUUCAUUGGUGUUUCCGUCUGUGUGACUCAACUAUGGAAACAUAAUAGAAACAGACUCUCCCUUGAUGAAUUGCAUGCCCUAAGAUUACUGAUGAGAUUCUAUCUCUCUCUCUCUCUGGCACACAUUUGCCUAUAGAGUGUUAUUAUCUCAUUCCUUAAAGCUUGAGAUAAAGAGGUAUGAGUAGAGAUAACUGAAAAUUACGAUAACUCAUCAACAGAAUUGGCACCCCCACCAUAUGGAUGCACACACACACACACACACAUACGGACCCAUGUUGUUACUCUGUGUUGUUCUCCUGUUAGUUUCUACUCCCCCUAUUCCUCUUCCCACACUAUAUCUCUAUCUUCUUCAUUGUUGGUGGUGACGCUUGGCUGUUUCAGGGAUAAAUCUACAAGGAAGUGUGUAUGAGUGUGUGUGUGUGUGUCGUUAGUCCCUAAACAUGAUAGUCUGGUUGGAGAGCAGUGAUAGAGCAGGGCUAUAAAGUUCAGUUAAUGAAGGGUGUGCUGACACCUUGGCCCGGGUCCCAGCCAUCUGUCACUUAUUAGCUUACUAUUUAGCGGUUCAUUUGUAGAACUAGAAGGACUAGAUUUUGGGAAUAGUCAAUGUAUUAAUAAUCAAUAUGGGGUAAGAGAGAGAAGAUGAAGAUGAACCGGUGUGUCUUUGUGCCUCCUCCUCUGUAACUGAACGGAUCAUGUUCCUCCUCGCCCAACUGCUUUCAAUAUUUGCUAGCACAAAACUGUGGUUUUAAUGCAAUCUCAUCAAACAUAUCUAAUAUCGACAGCCAAACAUCUAAUUAUUCUUGUUUGAUACUGUUUUUAAGCAACUAAAACAGAGAACAGAGAGAGAGAGACAGAAAGAGAGAGAGAACAUACUUACAGGCAGAGAAAGAGGUAGAAAGAAUACUUUUGUGAUU
Molecule: long non-coding RNA, 4028 nt
Organism: Gadus morhua (Atlantic cod)
Lineage: Eukaryota; Metazoa; Chordata; Actinopteri; Gadiformes; Gadidae
Source: Ensembl